UUUUAUAAAAUAUUUUUUUCAAACUAUACAUCAAACACACUCGGAUAAAGAUACGCUUUUCUCUUACUGUUAACAAACCCACUCUUCAUCUGACAAAAAUAGCCUCAUCUCCCCCAAAUCUUUCACGCAUCAAGGAGAUCUGUUAUAGCCUACAGUCUUUGUGCCAACAACAUGCUCCAAACUGGAACCAGUAUAUGGUUCAACCCCAACCUCCAAAAGUCUCGUUGUGUUUUCUUAUGCUCCAAACUGGAACCCGUAGAUGGUUCAACGCCAGCGAGAUCUGUUUUGGGUUUUUGACAAUUAAAAUGGCGGGACUUGGUGUUGCUUGUAGCGGUGAAGAUGGUGGUGUGAUUGGGUAUGGGUUCAAUUGAUGUUUGGGUGUGUGAUUAUGGUGUUGGGGGGAGAAGUUUAAUUGUUGUGUCAAUUGUCGUUGGUAUGCUUGUUGCUUUGUGGUGGCUGUGUUUACAGAGGUGUCGUGUGGAGGCUGAGGGGGAGGAAUGAAGAAGUAGAGGUGAGCAAAUGAAGAGGUUGGGCAUGUUGCUUGCUGGAUUUUUUCAAUUUUUCUAAUUGUGAUGGAUUAUAUUGACAAGGACGAUGAUGGAGAGGAUUGUGGAAAGGGAGAGGGAGGAGAAGCUUUGAAUUUUUAUUUUCUGAUUUCUAAUUUUACUUAACUUUUAUUUUGAUUUUUGUAUUUAAAUAAAAUAAAAGGUUUGUAAUGAAAAAUGGAUGGAAUGAGUUGACAAAAGUCAGAUGGCAAGAAUGAAAAGUAGACUAAAUGAAUGGUACGGUGAUUAUAUAUGUUUCAUGAUAAGAGGUUGCGAUUGCAUGAAUAGUGAAAUUGAAAAACAUGAGUGUGAUCAAUAUAUGACAUUUAAAAUGGAUGGAAAUUAAGGCA
RNAcentral lists this long non-coding RNA (895 nucleotides) under Populus tremula. Its description in RNAcentral is "long non-coding RNA (PTRE_LNC001818)". The record is from RNAcentral. Lineage: Eukaryota; Viridiplantae; Streptophyta; Magnoliopsida; Malpighiales; Salicaceae.